Long non-coding RNA from Dermochelys coriacea (leatherback sea turtle), 777 nucleotides. RefSeq lists it as uncharacterized. The record is from RefSeq and is a predicted model, not a curated record. NCBI's taxonomy places the organism in Eukaryota, Metazoa, Chordata, Testudines, Dermochelyidae. The transcript is spliced from 4 exons.
CUCAGGGACAUUGGUGACUGCUAGGAGCAAGCAGGCUCCAACUGAGAGACCUGGAAUUUGGGACUGAGACUACCAGCAAGACAGGCUUGGGAAGAGCCCUGAUAAGAAAUACACUUCAGCAACUCUAAGUUACAAAGGGUUUGUGUGAGAAUGUAUAGAGAGAAUGUGUAUAUGCACACAUGAACACCCUGGGGAGAUGAACAACAGAAGAAUUCUCCUUCCUUUCCAUCAGAUGCUGAUGCCUCCAGACUCUGAUGUGUAGACAUUAAAGGGUGUUGAUGAUGUCAGCUAUGUACCUUUUUGAGACUGCCUGCUUGAAAUAAAGCAACCAUCUCUUCCCAUCAAGAUUAGUCCUUGACCACAUUCCCAAAGAGAAAAGCCAGUCAAUUACACAAAGAACAGUAUAAUACAGACACAAUUUACAGAGCUAAUCCCAAAGUAGUAUACUGGGUUCUACAGUAUGUGUAGAGCUGAUGGUGAUAAUAGGGAUAGGCUGGGAAAAUCUAAAAUCUGGCUAAUCUUUUUCUUAUCUCCUGCUCCUUGUACUGUGGGUUGUCUGUCUUGGGCCUCCGAAAUCAGACUAAUCUACCUCUAUUCACACUGGACCUAAUUUUUCUCUCUCUAAUAAACAAUGAAGUUCCAUCCCUAUAUUGGAGAGCCCUGCAGAUGUUAAGAGGCCUACACUUGGUGACAAGCAUUUUGUGGUGAAGCUGUGUGUUGCAACUUAAAAACAUGAAAAGGAGAGCUAGGUUAUAUUUUUAUCCAGUUACUGUGUAU